RNAcentral lists this ribosomal RNA (468 nucleotides) under uncultured bacterium. RNAcentral describes it as "bacterial SSU rRNA". It matches the Rfam family "Bacterial small subunit ribosomal RNA", at positions 329 to 792 of the family's 1533-position model. The record is from RNAcentral.
UUCCAGACUCCUACGGGAGGCAGCAGUGAGGAAUAUUGGUCAAUGGGCGCGAGCCUGAACCAGCCAAGUCGCGUGAGGGAAGACGGUCCUAUGGAUUGUAAACCUCUUUUGUCGGGGAGCAAAAGACGCCACGCGUGGCGUUCCGAGAGUACCCGAAGAAAAAGCAUCGGCUAACUACGUGCCAGCAGCCGCGGUCAUACGUAGGAUCCGAGCAUUAUCCGGAGUGACUGGGUGUAAAGAGUUGCGUAGGUGGCAUAAUAAGUAGCUAGUGAAAUCUGGUGGCUCAACCAUUCAGACUAUUAGCUAAACUGUUAAGCUCGAGACCGUUAGGGGUAACUGGAAUUUCUAGUGUAGGAGUGAAAUCCGUAGAUAUUAGAAGGAACACCGAUAGCGUAGGCAGGUUACUGGGACGGUUCUGACACUAAGGCACGAAAGCGUAGGGAGCAAACGGGAUUAGAUACCCGCGUA